RNAcentral lists this long non-coding RNA (465 nucleotides) under Hordeum vulgare. Its description in RNAcentral is "long non-coding RNA (HVUL_LNC002979)". Lineage: Eukaryota; Viridiplantae; Streptophyta; Magnoliopsida; Poales; Poaceae. The record is from RNAcentral.
CUUACUACGCUGACAACUUCAAUGGGACUAGACUAGAGGAGGACACACCUCGGGUAAUUUGCAAAACAUGGUUAUGAGUAUUCCUAUAUUUUUUUUUACAUUUGCGCGAUCUUUUGCUAACCCUCAAAUGUGUUGUGUUUGGUUCUGCAGGCUGGAUUGGCGUCUAGGAGGAAGAGGAUGUUGUACGAAACUUUGGCGGCCCAGUGCAACACUGCUCCUCGCGCUGGCUUCAUGGUCCAGGUGGCAGAAGAAAUUUAGGUUAACAUGCGGAUGAAGGAGUUCCAUCCCGUGUCGGUCAAGCGCAUGUGCGUUGGCUUGGUUAAGUAGCGUAAUAGUUAAGCUUGCUGUGUUGGUGAUCCUUUUGUGAACCUAUCAGUGACUAUGGUGCUUUUGUGAACCAUGUAUUAUUCUGCUGUAAUAUUACUUAUUGCCGAGACAUCCUAAUCACUACACCAGCUUGUGUGC